This 72-nucleotide transfer RNA is filed under the name Desulfobacca acetoxidans DSM 11109. It matches the Rfam family "tRNA". Rfam says of the family: Transfer RNA (tRNA) molecules are approximately 80 nucleotides in length. Their secondary structure includes four short double-helical elements and three loops (D, anti-codon, and T loops). The record is from Rfam by way of RNAcentral. Lineage: Bacteria; Pseudomonadati; Thermodesulfobacteriota; Desulfobaccia; Desulfobaccales; Desulfobaccaceae.
GUGGGCGUAGCUCAGUGGCAGAGCACCGGGUUGUGGCCCCGGUGGCCGCGGGUUCAAAUCCCGUCGCUCACC